AAAAAGUUUUCCCUUAUUUUUGAGUAAGUUUACCUAAAAGACAAUCUAUGUUUUGUUAAAAUAAGGUCCUAUGUUCAAAAGGGCUGAAAUCUCUCUAUUAAGGGUUUUUUCUUUUUUUGACUGUUGUAACUCUCUGCUUGCCUUUGACUACUUCUGUUGUCACUUUGGUUAAAUGAAUAACUAAGCAUUGUUUCCUCUUUGACCAAGUGUUUUAAAACUUUUUUUAUUUUUGAUGAACUUCUCCCCAAAAUUAGUCUUUAUUUUGACUUAAAAAGGGAAGCUUUAGGAAUUUCCAAUGAGCCCAGGGACUUCUCAAGAAUUUGUUCUCUCUUUCUAUAAAGGGGAAGAUAUUAAACCAAUUAAACUAUUUGGUAUGUUACAUAACAUGGACAGCAUUGUCAAAUAAGUGGUGAUAAACCUUCUUAGGUUAUAUUGUGUGGGUAAAUGUUAUUAAUAUGUGUUUAAGAAAAAUUAUAUAACAUUCCUAAAAUUCUGAUCUGUCCUGUUUAUCAGUGAUAAUUCUGGCUAUUAUCUCAAAGUGUUAUAUGUCACAUCUUUGUCAAUUGCCAUUUUUUAAUGCUUUGUUAUUUGCAGAGAGCUGUUGUUUUAUUCUGAUAUUUUAGCAGAUGUGUUUCAUCUUUGGAGAGAUUCAUGAAAAGGACUCUGACACUUGCUCUAGGAUACAAGUUUCUGAUAAACUUUCAGAAUAUGAAACUGAGUUAGACAAGAAAUUAAAGAACUGUAAUGGAGAAACUGAUGGUCUCAUGAAACUGCUAAUAGAAGAUGAAGAGUUGAUAUAACAGGAGUAAAUAAACUGAUAAGGAUAAUUAUAAUUUUUAUGACUUUUAGUUUGAAAUAUUGCUGAUUUUAAAAAAUGUUUUGUUUUUCCUGAUUUAAGGAAAAUUUUUCUCUUUUUUCUUAAGGAACUAUGACUUAUAGCAAUUUGUAAGCAGAACUAAGGCAUUUAUCUUUUUCCAGAAUUUAGAAACUCUUGAUGAGUGAGUAUUCUUAAUAGCAAUAUAGAUGUUUGCAUAAGUUCAGUAAGAAUCUGUUCUUAUAAAAGGCUACAAUUGGAAAUACUGGUUAUAUUACCAAGGCUUUGACUGGACUGUUAUAUUUGAGAAAAACAUACGUCAACUCAGACAUGACCAUACAGCUUUUGAGAAACAAAGGUUAACUUUAUGAAAUAAAGUCACUUGGAAAUAUUGGACUGGUACCUUGCUUACAGUGUUUCCAACACCUUACCAGAUGAGUAAAGAAGAUCUCUUCCCUAGGAGGUACAAGGAGCCUCAGGAUAUUUUGGGGAACCUCAAGAGAGGAAAGGAAUUCACCCAAAUCUGUAGGUAUUGCAGACAGGUCUGAUGACAAGUCCUUGGCUUGGCUUUCCUGGCCUCAAGAGGCCUUUAAAAUUCAAUCUUGAGAUUCCUUAUAAAAAGGUCCAGCAAAGCAGAUUUAAAAGAGCCUAUAUGACAGUUGCUAUUCUUUCUGUGGUAAAAAUGAGAGUGAUUUAGAGAGAAAAAUUAUGUUUGAAUAGAAACUAUAGUACACAUUUGUGGAUGUUGGAUUUUGGUUCUAUUAUUUGUCUUUGAUGUUUUUCUUUUCUAUCUGUAAACUGCACUGGAUCCUGAAUCCUUCUAGUUUCCUUAAAUACUUGUUACAGAUCUCCAAAUUAAUAUUUUCAUUUUUUUUCCUUCCUUUUCAUCUGGAAUCAUUGAGAACUGAGACCACUCUUUUUCCUGAAGCCUUGCACAAUGAAAUUGGAAAACUGGAAGUAAACUUAAGACAGCACCAUGAUAGUCCAUGUUUGGACAAUCUUCAUGCCUGUUGCUGCAAAAGCUUCUUAUCAAAUACCUGGUUACUUGCUUACACAAUAUAGGCUUAACUUUGGGAGACCCUUCCUAUUAUCUAGAGAUGACCAAAGAGACCUGGAGGGAACCUGAAACAAGGAACUAGGCACUAGAUGUUCCUCUGCACCAUCUUUGUUGUGGAGAUUAGGUCCUCUUAAAAUCCUGGAAGCACAAGAUGAGUCCUUACAAGAAACACCACAAGGAAUGGGAACCAUGCAAUAGAAGUACAUCACAACCUGGAUCACCAAAACCUUGUCUGGCUUUAGCUCUAGACAUUGACUCUUCUGACUGGACAAAUGAACCCCUGACCAACCACAAGUUGCUAUCUAGAAGGUGGUCUUCUGAAGAUAAGCAAUGAAUAACUCCCAGGUUCUUACCUUACUUGUUGGACUAUUAGACAGAAACUACUUGGCUACAUCAGAUUUCACCUGAGAUUCCAGGCCCUAACCUUGAUUGGUUUACAGACACUUCUACUGGGACUAAGGUCCAUUAUGGAGGGGAUACUAAACUUUGGGCUGUCUAUUUUGCUAAUAUGUGUGGUCAUCUAUGUAAUUGUAAAGUGUAGACUUAUAUGUUGUUCCAAAGCCAUUGAUCAGAGUACUGAAAUAUUAGUCAUGCAAAGCAUGUCUCGCUCUCCUCAUCUGGUACCUCAAAAUAUUUACAGUAAAAGUAAAGCAGUUUCAUUCCUCUAAGCUUGAUCUUCACCCAUUCACAGUAGGAAGCAACUAGAGCAGUCUUCACCCCCAUUCCCCAAGAUUGAGGAAUGAUCAUAAAACAGUGGGGGUUAAAACCUAGGAUGAAAGAGUUAAAGUUUUCCCGGAUUAGGAUGAAACCAUGCCUGUACCCACAAGGUUAACAGGGGAAACAAAGUAACCAAAGUUUCUGAGCUUGCCUUGCAGAACAGCAGGAGGACUUCUGAUAAGACAGUAGCUUGCUGACAGCCCUCCACCUGACUAAGCAUAAUGCAGGAGCAUUGACAAGCUAAAAAGACUGAUUGUAAGCUUCACACAUCAAAGACUAAGAUCCACCACACACAACACAUAGAACACCCCUGACUUUGCACAGGCAGCCCAUGAAGAAAUAUGAAAGACAGUUGCCCCUGUACAGAGGGCUCUUGGAACUUCAGCCCCCAUGGCCACAUGCUGCCCCUCCCUGUCUUAUUCUGCAAUAUACUUUGGAAGAAUGCUUAGAACUGCAUGUAGUUAAGCUAAUCUGCAACUGGUAGAAAGAAUUACUUGCUAGCAGAAAAUUUACGUCCUCUGCCCAGACUCUUCAUUCUUUCCCAGAUAAGGAAGGAACUGAGGUUUUCUUAGAUUCCUCAGCAAUGUUGCAUUCAACAGAUCUUCUGUGGAGAGGCACUCAACUUUCUGUUGUCAUCCAUCACCUGACAUUUCUGAGCCACACUUCCCAACCCCAUUUGCCUUAUAUAAGUCAUUUCCAAAUCAGUUCCUUUUAAAAUUUUUUUUUUUUUUUUUUUUUUUUUUUUUUUUAGGAUGAUAGGCUGCCAUCUUCCAAUUUGCUAGCUUAUCACUUAUUAAGUUCUUUCUCUACCACCGCCUGCUUGGCCUUUUAUCUAGGGUGAGCAGAUCGAGCUCUUGCUGGGUAUCAACCUCAGCUUCUUUUCAUAGCUGCCACUUCCUUGUUAAGCCCUCAGUAUAUUUCCUCUUGAUUUCCUUCUCUCCACUCCUCAACCUCUCACAGCCAUAGACUCUAACCCUCUUCUUUUGUCUUGCCUAAACCAUAACCUUUUUUUGUGUUUGACCUAAUUCUCUCGUCUUGUUGAAAGGUACAGAUGUUUCUUUCUCUAAUGACUUUGGGGGUCUUGAGCUUAUGUGGUUUCAUCUAUGUUCCAAGAAGAAGCUCUAAGCAACAACCACCAUGGGCCUAUCUGCUCUGAACUGGUCCAGACCUUCACCACAAGAAUGACAACUCUGCAGACAGAGAAUUGUACUAAAGUAACUGUCUUCAUUAACAUCCUAAAUUCUCUUCUGGGAUGGGCAAAGUAGCUAUUUGUAGUUCAUGCUAUGUAUAUAAAAGCAUCAUUUCAAACCACGCAUGUGCAAACUUAUGCCACCUCUACAUGUGAUGAUGAAACUUCCUAUUUGUAUAUUCUUUCCCUGGCCCAAAUAAAGGCACCUACAUCCAUGUGCUAGGCGAGCAAUACCUUUGUGAAAUUAUUCCCAGUGGGCUCUAUUUUCUUUGUUGCAAGUCAAAAAUAAAAUUUCUGCUUUGUGUGACAACUAUUUCUGGUAUAGUUUGAUUAACUUACCAAGAAGGGGACUCAGGUCUGGUCUGGUAACAAAUUGGUGACCCUGGUGGGACCUCUGUCCCUCUGAGGCUAUAUUCUUCCAGCUGUCUGGUUUACAGUACUGGAGGUUGAGGGG
Long non-coding RNA from Equus asinus (donkey), 4231 nucleotides. Lineage: Eukaryota; Metazoa; Chordata; Mammalia; Perissodactyla; Equidae. The record is from Ensembl.